UUAAGCGACUAAGCGUACACGGUGGAUGCCCUGGCAGUCAGAGGCGAUGAAGGACGUGCUAAUCUGCGAUAAGCGUCGGUAAGGUGAUAUGAACCGUUAUAACCGGCGAUUUCCGAAUGGGGAAACCCAGUGUGUUUCGACACACUAUCAUUAACUGAAUCCAUAGGUUAAUGAGGCGAACCGGGGGAACUGAAACAUCUAAGUACCCCGAGGAAAAGAAAUCAACCGAGAUUCCCCCAGUAGCGGCGAGCGAACGGGGAGCAGCCCAGAGCCUGAAUCAGUGUGUGUGUUAGUGGAAGCGUCUGGAAAGGCGCGCGAUACAGGGUGACAGCCCCGUACACAAAAAUGCACAUGCUGUGAGCUCGAUGAGUAGGGCGGGACACGUGGUAUCCUGUCUGAAUAUGGGGGGACCAUCCUCCAAGGCUAAAUACUCCUGACUGACCGAUAGUGAACCAGUACCGUGAGGGAAAGGCGAAAAGAACCCCGGCGAGGGGAGUGAAAAAGAACCUGAAACCGUGUACGUACAAGCAGUGGGAGCACGCUUAGGCGUGUGACUGCGUACCUUUUGUAUAAUGGGUCAGCGACUUAUAUUCUGUAGCAAGGUUAACCGAAUAGGGGAGCCGAAGGGAAACCGAGUCUUAACUGGGCGUUAAGUUGCAGGGUAUAGACCCGAAACCCGGUGAUCUAGCCAUGGGCAGGUUGAAGGUUGGGUAACACUAACUGGAGGACCGAACCGACUAAUGUUGAAAAAUUAGCGGAUGACUUGUGGCUGGGGGUGAAAGGCCAAUCAAACCGGGAGAUAGCUGGUUCUCCCCGAAAGCUAUUUAGGUAGCGCCUCGUGAAUUCAUCUCCGGGGGUAGAGCACUGUUUCGGCAAGGGGGUCAUCCCGACUUACCAACCCGAUGCAAACUGCGAAUACCGGAGAAUGUUAUCACGGGAGACACACGGCGGGUGCUAACGUCCGUCGUGAAGAGGGAAACAACCCAGACCGCCAGCUAAGGUCCCAAAGUCAUGGUUAAGUGGGAAACGAUGUGGGAAGGCCCAGACAGCCAGGAUGUUGGCUUAGAAGCAGCCAUCAUUUAAAGAAAGCGUAAUAGCUCACUGGUCGAGUCGGCCUGCGCGGAAGAUGUAACGGGGCUAAACCAUGCACCGAAGCUGCGGCAGCGACGCUGAUGCGUUGUUGGGUAGGGGAGCGUUCUGUAAGCCUGUGAAGGUGUACUGUGAGGUAUGCUGGAGGUAUCAGAAGUGCGAAUGCUGACAUAAGUAACGAUAAAGCGGGUGAAAAGCCCGCUCGCCGGAAGACCAAGGGUUCCUGUCCAACGUUAAUCGGGGCAGGGUGAGUCGACCCCUAAGGCGAGGCCGAAAGGCGUAGUCGAUGGGAAACAGGUUAAUAUUCCUGUACUUGGUGUUACUGCGAAGGGGGGACGGAGAAGGCUAUGUUGGCCGGGCGACGGUUGUCCCGGUUUAAGCGUGUAGGCUGGUUUUCCAGGCAAAUCCGGAAAAUCAAGGCUGAGGCGUGAUGACGAGGCACUACGGUGCUGAAGCAACAAAUGCCCUGCUUCCAGGAAAAGCCUCUAAGCAUCAGGUAACAUCAAAUCGUACCCCAAACCGACACAGGUGGUCAGGUAGAGAAUACCAAGGCGCUUGAGAGAACUCGGGUGAAGGAACUAGGCAAAAUGGUGCCGUAACUUCGGGAGAAGGCACGCUGAUAUGUAGGUGAAGUCCCUCGCGGAUGGAGCUGAAAUCAGUCGAAGAUACCAGCUGGCUGCAACUGUUUAUUAAAAACACAGCACUGUGCAAACACGAAAGUGGACGUAUACGGUGUGACGCCUGCCCGGUGCCGGAAGGUUAAUUGAUGGGGUUAGCCGCAAGGCGAAGCUCUUGAUCGAAGCCCCGGUAAACGGCGGCCGUAACUAUAACGGUCCUAAGGUAGCGAAAUUCCUUGUCGGGUAAGUUCCGACCUGCACGAAUGGCGUAAUGAUGGCCAGGCUGUCUCCACCCGAGACUCAGUGAAAUUGAACUCGCUGUGAAGAUGCAGUGUACCCGCGGCAAGACGGAAAGACCCCGUGAACCUUUACUAUAGCUUGACACUGAACAUUGAGCCUUGAUGUGUAGGAUAGGUGGGAGGCUUGGAAGUGUGGACGCCAGUCUGCAUGGAGCCGACCUUGAAAUACCACCCUUUAAUGUUUGAUGUUCUAACGUUGACCCGUAAUCCGGGUUGCGGACAGUGUCUGGUGGGUAGUUUGACUGGGGCGGUCUCCUCCUAAAGAGUAACGGAGGAGCACGAAGGUUGGCUAAUCCUGGUCGGACAUCAGGAGGUUAGUGCAAUGGCAUAAGCCAGCUUGACUGCGAGCGUGACGGCGCGAGCAGGUGCGAAAGCAGGUCAUAGUGAUCCGGUGGUUCUGAAUGGAAGGGCCAUCGCUCAACGGAUAAAAGGUACUCCGGGGAUAACAGGCUGAUACCGCCCAAGAGUUCAUAUCGACGGCGGUGUUUGGCACCUCGAUGUCGGCUCAUCACAUCCUGGGGCUGAAGUAGGUCCCAAGGGUAUGGCUGUUCGCCAUUUAAAGUGGUACGCGAGCUGGGUUUAGAACGUCGUGAGACAGUUCGGUCCCUAUCUGCCGUGGGCGCUGGAGAACUGAGGGGGGCUGCUCCUAGUACGAGAGGACCGGAGUGGACGCAUCACUGGUGUUCGGGUUGUCAUGCCAAUGGCACUGCCCGGUAGCUAAAUGCGGAAGAGAUAAGUGCUGAAAGCAUCUAAGCACGAAACUUGCCCCGAGAUGAGUUCUCCCUGACCCUUUAAGGGUCCUGAAGGAACGUUGAAGACGACGACGUUGAUAGGCCGGGUGUGUAAGCGCAGCGAUGCGUUGAGCUAACCGGUACUAAUGAACCGUGAGGCUUAACCUU
RNAcentral lists this ribosomal RNA (2904 nucleotides) under Escherichia coli. RNAcentral's name for it is "23S ribosomal RNA". It matches the Rfam family "Bacterial large subunit ribosomal RNA". Lineage: Bacteria; Pseudomonadati; Pseudomonadota; Gammaproteobacteria; Enterobacterales; Enterobacteriaceae. The record is from RNAcentral.